Lynx canadensis (Canada lynx) is the source of this 4623-nucleotide long non-coding RNA. RefSeq lists it as uncharacterized. The record is from RefSeq and is a predicted model, not a curated record. The transcript has 3 exons. NCBI's taxonomy places the organism in Eukaryota, Metazoa, Chordata, Mammalia, Carnivora, Felidae.
CUGACUCUCUAAAAUAAAAUUAAUCAAUCAAUUAAAAAAAUAAUAGGUUUGUGAACUGAGGCAAACUGGACUUUCAAAAAUAACCUUUUUUUCUAGGUGUUGAAGAUGAGGAGUGCCUUAUUCUGUAAAAAUACUAGUAGCAACAAGAAUUGACACACAGGAGAAACUUCUUUAACCACUUUCCACUUAACUGGCUUGGCAGACCCUGCUUUCCACCAUCAGCAUGUUUACACCUAAUAAAUGCCACCUUUUGGGGGACUGCCCACUUUCACUCCCACUACUAGAACUUUCUAUACUCUUUAGUGUUAGUUUCAUUUCAACCCCAUUUUGUCAUCAUGGUUAUUAUUACAAACACAAGUAAAAUAUCGUGUAAAACAAUCAAAUGUGAGUAUAUAUAUAAGGCUGAAAGCUGAAUGACUGGAUACAGGUGAGUCACGAAAAACAAAAAUUACCACCAAUUUUGGUUGUUGGGGCAAAAACUGUCCCCGACUGUGACGAAAAAGAAUCAUCAAAGCUCAAACAGGUACUGAAAUCAGAUUGCUUGGCUUUAAAGAAAGCAAGCUGGUCGUCUUAGAUUAUGCAUUACUCAUGUGGUUGAAAGUGCAGCUAAUGAAUGUGCUCAAAGAAAACUCACCGUACAUUAAAAGAGAGACAAGUUAUUAUAUAUUUAUAGAUUCGCGUCUACAACCCACUCCUGUCUUGAUUACAUCAGACGAAGGACCUCUCCUAGAAGUCUGAAUGUUACUGCCUUCCUGCAAAUACCACCUUUCCUUAUGCUCUCCAUUAUGUAUGAAAUAAAUCACACCCAUUUAUAGCACAUUAUUAACAUCUUAAAUGAUGGCAUGUUUUGAUUUGCCUGAAUGACUCCUAACCCCAAAAUUUAUCUUGGAGAAAUUGUGUGUGUGUGUGUGCGUGCGUGUGUGUGUGUGUGUGUGUGUGUGGUGAAAUCUCUGCCAGUUAGUUUUCUUGUAUUGUUUUUCUCCUGAAAGAGCAUCUCAGGCAGACAGUUAAACUAACCAAACAUUCCAGCUAGUUGAACCCCAUGGAAAAGUGGUGUUACUACUUUUCUGAGAAAGCAAGAAAAAACAAUGAACUCAUAGCACCUCUUCAUGUUUACAAUAUUCCAAGAAAAAUAUUAUUUUUCUAUUCCUCCUUUAAGUGAGCCUAUAAAAACAAUAAUUCUAUUUUUUUAAUAGAUCCAAUGAAAUGGUACUUGGUUCUGCUGCUAAAGUUCUCUCUUUAGCAGAUCAUACAGUUCUUGGGAUAAUGGCUUUCACAUGUUAAGAUUUCAUGUAUUUCUAAAACAUGAUCUACAUCCAUUCUUAAAAUCGAUUUUCCCAAAGAUUUUGAAAUACUCAAUUUAAAUGGGCAAGUUUUUCAAUUAAUAUAAAGUAAUAUGUUAACAAUUAACAUAAAAUAAUAUGUUAGCCCUAAAACCUUCUAUGACUAUGACUUUAGCAAUAAUAACAGUAAAUACUUAUUUUAAACAGAAGCAAUGUGGUAUGUAUAGAAAACUGAGUAUAAUUUCUAGUCUUUGAUAUUGUAAUUACUCUAAUCCAUAUAGCCAACAUGAAGGCAGGUAGGUGUUUUGCAGAUCUUUCUAUCCUCCGACCUUUUGCAUAUGUGAACUCAGAUCUCUGUAUAUCCAAGCAGAGAUAUCAUAAAUAUCUACUCAGGUGGAAACUGGACUUUUAAGAACUAGUUUUAAUGCAAUUUUGUCCUUUGUGUAAAGUGUUUUUAAAAAUCUUGAAUUUAACAAAUACAUGAAGGACCCAACAUUCAUUUUCUCUGUCCAGAACAUUUGUUUCAUAGGCAUACGAGUCAGAUGAAAUAAAUAUUUGCUUUGGAGCUGUUAAGAUGUCACAUAUUUGUUAACUUAUGUGUGUGCUCUUUAUUAAAUCCAAUGCUUGGCAAAGCAUCAAUUCAGUCAGUAAUGUAGAUUUCCCCACACUGUGUUUUGUUCUGUAAGUGGUCCAAACUCAUAAAACACAUUUUGCCCACUAUCUACCCGAAACCUGAGAUAAAAUUUACCUUCUUAAUCAGUCCAAAAAACCCUCAUGAUAUAGUAUCUAAAAUUUUCUAGUCUCCAAAAUAGCAUUUGAAUGUGUGUAUCAAUCAUGAUUAUAAUAUGGAGUCUAUGGCAUUGUAUUUAUGAUUUAUAUUAGAAAAACCCCAACAUAAUACAUGUUGCUAUUGCACUGUUUUGGGUAUAAUGCAAGCCAAGUGAUGACACCCGGAAUGUAAGAACUCAAUGUAUUUAAUAAUAUCAUAGCCAAUGUGUCUCAAAGUUAUUGCCAAUGAAAAAAGGGGAAAAAAUGUUUUUACACGUAGAUAUAACAAAGGAAAAGUUUCCCUAAACAAUGCUUACCCUACUACAUGAAACAUUCUUUUAUGUGUAUAAACCCUCUACAUUGAUUUCAUGAUUCUACUAAAGGGUGACUGUUUGGAGCCAGUUAUCUCUAAGUCUCUGUUUCUGCUUGCCUUUCCAGCAGAGGCACUGACUCCAUUUUCAAGAACGCUAUCCUUUCAAGGAUGUUUGUACAGCAAACAGCCUUGAAAGACAGAGAAUUAUCUUCCUCCAGAGAAAAGGACAACUUUGUUUCCUACACAUUAAAAUAAAGAUAAGGGCAGGCAGCCUUGUGGCCAAUUAUAAAAGCCUCAAGGUCCCUAAGCUCAAAGUUACGCUCCUCUGGACCCUCUGAGUGCCACUCCGUUGGAAGUGAGGCUUGAGAAGCGCAAAUGCUGAGUCUGAAUGCCACAAUUGCUUUGUCUCUGAGCCAGGUGUCUCGUGUCUUCUGCCAGCAUCCAUGAAACUGGCAGGCUAACUGGUUAGCUGCAAGUCAGGUGAAAUCUCAGCCAAUAUUCCCACAUUAUCAAUUUAACCGUAAAGCCAAUUUUGCCAAUUUAUUUCUUCUUCUUAGUCUCAAAGCAAAUAGAGAAUGUCUUUUUUUCUGCAGCAUCUGCUUACUAAUACUAUAUGAUGCUACAAAGUGCCUUCCAGAAGCACCUAGUCUUUUAGCAGAAUGAAAUCUCUUACUCAUCUGUCUUCACCCAGGAUCCUCCCUUAGACAGAGAGAGCUUCCUGCUUGUCCUUGGGACUCCCAUAGUUAGCAAAUCCAAUUGCUCUAGAUGGGUUUAUGUAAGAAGAUCUGUAGUAAUGGGAAACACCAGCAACAUACUCAGAAAUUUAGAUUCAUUCUGUGUCUCAGUGCUUCUAAAACUAUAAUAGCAGAUCAUGAGGUGCUUCAAGAUGCAUGUCAUAGUCAUGUAGAAUACAACAGCAGUUCCAGUGACCCACGUUUUUUCUGUGCAUCCUGUUUACAUCAGCAAGGAAAGCUCUGAUUGGGUCACCCCUACUGGUAGUUACUUGGCAUGCCGUACUUCUCACUAUAUCCUCCUGGGUGUCUUCGGCUCUGGCCUAGUCAUUUCAGCCAGGGUAAGCAGGGUUAUUCUCAUUGAACAUCCAUACACGUGGCAAAAGCCAUAGCCACUUGAAGAAUAGCCUGAUGUUGCUCUCCUCUGCAGAGAGCCAUGGGCAGAUAGAGCCAUCAUCGCCUGUGUGUUACUGCCUCAAGUAACAUCUUACCAUCCUUAUACCUCGCUACAAAGUUACAAAUACCUGCCAGCUAAACAUCAAAUUAGAAAACUCUAGAGGUUAAAACAAUAGAUAAUUUUGCUCCAUCCCUUGAUCCGGUGGGUAAGUUGAGUUACCCCAGAGCUAAGCCAGAUCAGAACCCCGGUUUUCCAUUUCCCAUUCUGCCUGAUUUCCACACAAUUCCCAUAUGUGGGCAACACAAUCCUUCUUGGGAAGGCGACAAGACCCUUAGCCCCCCAAAUGCAGAGCCCACAUUUUCAGGCUCUGCCACAGUGCGUGCUCCGUGGCGUAGCAUGUUCUCUCUCUCUUCUCUCUCUGUUUCUCUCUCUCUCCCUUUUCCUCGCUCCCUCCCUUUCUCUCUAUGAAUUCAUUGAAUCACCUAGAUUUGCAUAUAACCUGGUUCGGAUUGCAUUUUUAAUGUUUCUCACUUCUUCCAUGCUUCUGCGUGAUACCACUUCAUUUUAAGAAGUCUCCGAUUGCUAUUUUAUGAAUCGCUUAGUACCAUGAACAAUCCCAAGAAACAAAUUCUCAGGUUUUAUAGCUCUUCAUGCUUUCCAAGCCUGCAUAUCACAGUCUCCAGGAGGCUUUCCUGAUGUAAGAAUGGACGCCAGGCUCUUUGUACGCGUUCCAGUAACCAACAGCACGGCCUCUGUCAUCGCAUGACCCAAUCAUCUCAUCACUGCCUGAUGACAUGGCUGCCUCCCCUACUGAACUGCGAGCUCCUGGUGGGCAAGACCCCACAGCUUAUUCGGGCCCCAGACAGAUGUCAAUUACAGUGCCUUGUCUUUGGAAACACGGAGCAAACUUUCUCUAUGCUGUCCACGGAGCAAGUCAACAAAGACGUUUUCACCGAAAUUCAAACACCGAGAGCAACAAAAAGACUAUAUAUGUCCUCAAGAGAGGCGCUCGCCAGCUCGUCUUUCCAGAACUACUGUCGGGAUCCGGGUCAAUGCCUCCCUUUCACCAUCACCGUAGACCAGGAGCAUGAUAGGAGGAGAAAGAUGCGUGAGGAUCCAUUUAAAGCUAGU